Nerophis ophidion (straightnose pipefish) is the source of this 654-nucleotide long non-coding RNA. RefSeq lists it as uncharacterized. The transcript is spliced from 2 exons. The record is from RefSeq and is a predicted model, not a curated record. NCBI's taxonomy places the organism in Eukaryota, Metazoa, Chordata, Actinopteri, Syngnathiformes, Syngnathidae.
CUCCAGCAACACUGAGAGCAGACUCAGCCAAACUACUUAGGUAAUGUUGCAGUUUUCAAUGCCAACAAAGAAAUUCACUUAAAAAAAAAACACUCCAACGCUUGCAAGUUCCAAAAUGAUUGUAAAAAAGAAUUUCAGUUCAUUCAGGACAACUAGAAGGGGAAGGGGUAUGCUGCCUGCAAUUUUUGUAGAUCAGACUUCCCCAUUGAACACGGUGGCCGAACGGAUAUUGUCACUCAUGAACGGUCAGUGAAGCACAAGACUGCUGCAACGCAGCACCGGUCAAAGCCCAGUAUUAUGGGCCACCUUGCUAAAUGGAGACCCGAGGGUGUAACUUAUGCCGAGACAAAGAUGGCUAUGCCGAUAGCUGCAAGCAACAUCCCAUUCUCAUCUGCAAAUGUUUCAACAAAUCCGUGAAGGAUAUGUUCCCGGAUUCAGAGAUCGCUCGCCACUACGCAAAUGGCAGAACAAAGGCUACUCAAAUAGUUAAAGGUGCCAUUGCCCCGGAUUUGGACAAGGUAGCGAUCGAACUGUACCAAAACCAAUCCUUUGGUCUGAUGUGUGAUGAAAGCACAAGCAAAAACACAGAUACAGUCUGUAUUUACACUUCUUUUGCAAAGUAAUUUUGUGGCUGCGGUCAGUAAAAAUUUUGUG